GACGAACGCUGGCGGCGUGCCUAAUACAUGCAAGUCGAACGCUGAAGAGAGGAGCUUGCUCUUCUUGGAUGAGUUGCGAACGGGUGAGUAACGCGUAGGUAACCUGCCUUGUAGCGGGGGAUAACUAUUGGAAACGAUAGCUAAUACCGCAUAACAAUGGAUGACACAUGUCAUUUAUUUGAAAGGGGCAAUUGCUCCACUACAAGAUGGACCUGCGUUGUAUUAGCUAGUAGGUGAGGUAAUGGCUCACCUAGGCGACGAUACAUAGCCGACCUGAGAGGGUGAUCGGCCACACUGGGACUGAGACACGGCCCAGACUCCUACGGGAGGCAGCAGUAGGGAAUCUUCGGCAAUGGGGGCAACCCUGACCGAGCAACGCCGCGUGAGUGAAGAAGGUUUUCGGAUCGUAAAGCUCUGUUGUAGGUCAAGAACGGGUGUGAGAGUGGAAAGUUCACACUGUGACGGUAGCUUACCAGAAAGGGACGGCUAACUACGUG
This 497-nucleotide ribosomal RNA is filed under the name uncultured bacterium. RNAcentral describes it as "partial 16S ribosomal RNA". It matches the Rfam family "Bacterial small subunit ribosomal RNA", at positions 28 to 507 of the family's 1533-position model. The record is from RNAcentral.